UCCGUAGGUGAACCUGCGGAAGGAUCAUUAA
Molecule: non-coding RNA, 31 nt
Filed under: Saccharomyces cerevisiae (brewer's yeast)
Lineage: Eukaryota; Fungi; Ascomycota; Saccharomycetes; Saccharomycetales; Saccharomycetaceae
Also listed under: 21 other names
Source: RNAcentral